UAACAGUGCCCAAAUCUCCAAUCUCCAUUUCCCACCUACAAUCCUGAAUCUCAAACCCAACCAUUUGUUUCAAAAUGUGAUGCAACUAGUGCAUCGCCUACCGUCGUCGUGUCGUGAACCCAUGGCGAGUUGGUGAAUAACUCCAUCAUGGUUUCAUGAAGUCGUGGUGAGUCGAAGAAGAAGAGGGCACAAACGUUGAUUCGUAUUUGUUUCUCCGUCCCCAUUAAGUAUCCCAAUGUCUUACGGAAAUAAAGAACUUUGAGUUGAUUCUCUUUUGCUGAUAGUUGUUUGAGCUGGACUUUGACAAAUGAGGCUUUGAGUUCUACAUUAAU
RNAcentral lists this long non-coding RNA (332 nucleotides) under Phaseolus vulgaris (common bean). RNAcentral describes it as "long non-coding RNA (PVUL_LNC001408)". The record is from RNAcentral. Lineage: Eukaryota; Viridiplantae; Streptophyta; Magnoliopsida; Fabales; Fabaceae.